GCCCAGGCGCACGGAUGCGGCCGCGAGGAGCGCGCGGACCGCUUCGCUGCCGCCUCGGCGUCUGCGGAGCUGCACCUCCUCCUACUCCAGUUUCCAUGAGUCAGGAAUCCAGAAUUGGCUUGUGGUUUCGUGUGAGAUUACAGUGAAAAUACUGGCCAGGGCUGAGUCGUUUGAAGGUCUGACUUGGGUUGGAGGAUCCGCUCCAAGAUUUCACAUCACAGCCCUUUGAUACAGCUCCUCCCCAGUAUGAGCGACCCAGAAGAGUAAGAUGGAGGGGUCCUUUUGGGAACCUGGUCAGAGGCCGAAAUGCUUGGCUUUAAGCCCCACAAUGUGAAGGAUCCGUUCGGCAGACCAGCCCCCAGGUGAAUCAGAAGCCAGAGUCGUCAUCUAGCCCCCACCCUCUGCAUCCACCGUUGCACCAAGUUCUGUCUGGACCUUCCCACUCCAAGAGCCCAGGUCAGCUCUCACGGGAAGGCCUAUUAGCAGAAGAGCUCAGUGAAGGACAGAGAGAGGCAGGGAGACCCAGCAGGUGACACUGAACGAUGCAGACACGGAACGUACCGGUGGCCAGGGUGGCGGGGCCGCGGCCCCCGUGGAUGGCGCUGGGGAGGCAACACCGUUCCCGCCGUCGCGCAGCUGGCGAGGCCGUGACUCGCCGCGCCAUCAGCUCAGAGGCCAGGGCCGCUCCUCCCAUAUGACUGAGUCCUCCAUCUCCUCUACUGACGCCAGGUUUCUGCCCUCCCCUGUGAGCCUGCACAGCUGGGCACAGCUACCCUACACUCGGGGCGGGGCGGGGGAACUGAAAACAAGCCACAGUGCUGACCCAAAGUGUGAGAAAUCCACUGCCUCCGACAGAAAAGGAGCGACCGCCACAAGUCAGCGCAUGAGCUCGCCAGGCCCAGGAGGAUCCAGUGAACUCUCCUUGGAAGGCUGACGCAUAACCUGCCCGGGGCGAGGCCCCCAGAACCCCGGGGCUGGAAUGCUGGCUAGGGGGACCCCCUGCCCCCUGCUGCCUUCUGCCUUUGUCUCCUGGACACUCACUUCCUGCCUCUCAUUCCUCACAAGACAUAAGUCUGUGCCCAUUGCCUGGCAGACCUCUUCGCUCCCCUCAGCCUCCCCAUUCCUCUGUCUUCCUGGGCUCCAAUGGGCACUGGAGGAAGCCCGGGCACCCCGCCCCCCUAUCUCAGGACCCUCAGAGCCUCUGUUCAUCUGGGAACCAGCGGCAGGCUUCACAGGUUCUACCCAACAGGGGGUGGACUUCCUGGAUCUUAAGAAACUGACCAGGCAGAAUCCAUCUCUCAGCUGGAGUCCUCCAGGUCCAGCUCCACUAACUUGGGUAUCUAAGAGCACCACUGCACAGCCAAGGGUCACCACUGAAGAGCACUGCACUGAGUGAGAUUUCCACAGCGGGCCACGAGGCACUGAGGUGAGACCCCUGCUGACCGCCGGCUCUGAGCGGUAAGACAUCCAAACUGAGCUUGGUGCUGCAUUCAGCGGGCAGAGACCCUUGGCCCAGUGCUGGCCUCUGUCCAUCGGGACAGAGGAGCACUCCCCACCCUGCUCCCAACCUCCUCCUGGCCAGCACACACAGCCCUGUGGGUCGGCAUUCCCGGCUAGGCCCCCAGUCGUGCACUGAGAGCUACUGUUGCACACCCGCCUCACAGGGGGAUGCCCGGCACCCCACCUGCCUCACACGCCAGGUGAGCUGAAGCAAGGCUGGCGUUAGAUCACGAGGGUGGGAUCAGGGUGUCUGGUUCUGUUCAAGGAGCACUUAGUGACUGACACAGCUUAAACUGAAACGUAACUGAAAUACUUCAAACGGAGGCAAAGGGCUUUGAAUUCCGAGGAAAAGGUUGGGGAGGAAACAAGUCAUAGCUGACACAGUCCUGGGAGAGCUCCAUACACCAGAAGCUGGAUUCCAAACCUGGAGAAGACCUCACAAGUGGAAAGCAGUGUGUAAACUGCGUGGGAACAGAAUUUCUGGAUUAAAAAACAAACAAAAGUCUCUUACCUGGCUUAUACCUCCAAGAAGAGCGGAGGGCCUGGGUUCUGAUUCUAAGUCACAGCUCUUCAGUACAAACUUCCGUGGCAAGGUUGACUCUGGUGUUAGGAGCCCUGGUUCCUGAAGUGAUUCCAUCGCUGGCAACUGCCAAAGCAAUGGGACUGAGUGAAGGUGGGAGGCUGUCCAGGCCCCUACGCACUGGAGGACCAGGAGCCGAGCGGGCUGGUCUCCUUCUCAGCCUGUCAGGCUGGCCUCUGUGGAGGAGGAGAGCUGCACAGCGGACAUUCACGUAUGUACCAGACUGCUACAUUCUGAGGCUGUGACACACGUCAGACGUUACAGAACACACAGCUGCGAACGACGCUGGAGCCGGUGCUACUGUGAGCGCUGCUAUGCAGGCAUGGCAGAUUCUAUUUUUAACACUUUAUUGGCGAAACAGAGCUCCCUUCCCUCCACCCUCACAGAGAACUAGCCCUUUUCCCUUUCUUGCGGCUAACGUUAACUUACCUGCUUCGCCAAGGCCUGUGCUGGCAUGCUACAAAGGCCGUUCACACAGCAGCCUGCCGCAGCCCUGCAGUGCCCCAGUCUGAACUGCUCCUACACAGGGAACUGCGCAGCUGUCUUAUUCAGAAAGGCUAAGUGGUGAUAAUAGUAAUGUGACGUGCUAGGCUUUGCAUAAACUGCUGUCGUGUCUCCAUUCGUUCAAAUGAGAAGAAAGUGACUGCAAGUUAGUGGGAGUUCCAACAUGCAGACUUGUUGCACGAAAAAGAUCCCCAGACUGGGGGUGUGGGGGGCAGUCCAUGAUGGAACGUUGCCAACAUCCCUUGCCUAAUUAAUGCAAGAGACUUCUUAGAAAACCCCAAAAUUCAAAGAAUAUCUGAGAAACCAGUAAAAGACAGACCAGGACCUAAGUGUAUCAAGCAAGGCUGAGAGGCUGGAAGGAGAAACUGGAAGCAAGCACGCAGUGUAACUGCACCCCACCCUUCCCUGUCAGAAGACCACACCACCUCCAGAACCGGGCACGUUCUGGCGCAGCUCCUGGGCUUAAUUUAAAACAAAAGGAACAUCUGUGGUCACUCUGCCAAAGUUUCAAGUGCCCUGCAGACUACAGCUGGAAUCCCGAUUACAUUCAGGAGUCCUGUAUGGGUAUUCCCCCUACUAAACCUGCAUAGGAGUGAUGACAGAAAUUUACCUUCUGUCUGGAAUUGUUUUAUAAUGAAAAGUCAGAAAAAUGAAAAUGACUGCCAGGAGGUUAUUUUUGACUAUGGUCGGCACUUGCCCUUAAUCAGGGUCAU
Long non-coding RNA from Bos taurus (domestic cattle), 3297 nucleotides. Lineage: Eukaryota; Metazoa; Chordata; Mammalia; Artiodactyla; Bovidae. The record is from Ensembl.